UACGGAGGGUGCAAGCGUUAUCCGGAUUUACUGGGUUUAAAGGGUGCGUAGGUGGGUUGGUAAGUCAGUGGUGAAAUACUUUCGCUUAACGAAGGAACUGCCAUUGAUACUACCAGUCUUGAAUACAGUGGAGGUAGGCGGAAUGCGUCAUGUAGCGGUGAAAUGCUUAGAUAUGACGCAGAACACCAAUUGCGAAGGCAGCUUGCUACACUGUUAUUGACACUGAGGCCCGAAAGCGUGGGGAUCAAACAGG
Molecule: ribosomal RNA, 253 nt
Filed under: uncultured bacterium
Lineage: Bacteria
Description: partial 16S ribosomal RNA
Rfam family: Bacterial small subunit ribosomal RNA
Source: RNAcentral